RNAcentral lists this ribosomal RNA (618 nucleotides) under uncultured bacterium. Its description in RNAcentral is "bacterial SSU rRNA". It matches the Rfam family "Bacterial small subunit ribosomal RNA", at positions 338 to 950 of the family's 1533-position model. The record is from RNAcentral.
CCUACGGGAGGCAGCAGUAGGGAAUCUUCCGCAAUGGACGAAAGUCUGACGGAGCAACGCCGCGUGAACGAUGAAGGCCUUCGGGUCGUAAAGUUCUGUUGUUAGGGAAGAACAAGUGCUAGUUGAAUAAGCUGGCACCUUGACGGCACCUAACCAGAAAGCCACGGCUAACUACGUGCCAGCAGCCGCGGUAAUACGUAGGUGGCAAGCGUUGUCCGGAAUUAUUGGGCGUAAAGCGCGCGCAGGCGGUUUCUUAAGUCUGAUGUGAAAGCCCCCGGCUCAACCGGGGAGGGUCAUUGGAAACUGGGAAACUUGAGUGCAGAAGAGGAAAGUGGAAUUCCAAGUGUAGCGGUGAAAUGCGUAGAGAUUUGGAGGAACACCAGUGGCGAAGGCGACUUUCUGGUCUGUAACUGACGCUGAGGCGCGAAAGCGUGGGGAGCAAACAGGAUUAGAUACCCUGGUAGUCCACGCUGUAAACGAUGAGUGCUAAGUGUUAGAGGGUUUUCCGCCCUUUAGUGCUGAAGUUAACGCAUUAAGCACUCCGCCUGGGGAAUCGGUCGCAAGCUGAAACUCAAAGGAUUGACGGCNGAGAGUGCGACGACGACGACGAGGGAGAGG